AGAGUUUGAUCAUGGCUCAGAUUGAACGCUGGCGGCAUGCUUUACACAUGCAAGUCGAGCGGCAGCGCGGGGGCAACCCUGGCGGCGAGCGGCGAACGGGUGAGGAAUACAUCGGAACGUACCCCGGAGUGGGGGAUAACCCAGCGAAAGUUGGGCUAAUACCGCAUAUGCUCUGAGGAGGAAAGUGGGGGACCGCAAGGCCUCACGCUCUGGGAGCGGCCGAUGUCCGAUUAGCUUGUUGGUGGGGUAAUGGCCUACCAAGGCGACGAUCGGUAGCUGGUCUGAGAGGAUGAUCAGCCACACUGGGACUGAGACACGGCCCAGACUCCUACGGGAGGCAGCAGUGGGGAAUUUUGGACAAUGGGGGCAACCCUGAUCCAGCCAUGCCGCGUGCGGGAAGAAGGCCUUCGGGUUGUAAACCGCUUUUGGUCGGGAAGAAAAGGCGCCACCUAAUACGGGGCGUUCUUGACGGUACCGGCAGAAUAAGCACCGGCUAACUACGUGCCAGCAGCCGCGGUAAUACGUAGGGUGCGAGCGUUAAUCGGAAUUACUGGGCGUAAAGCGUGCGCAGGCGGUUUGUUAAGUCUGAUGUGAAAGCCCCGGGCUCAACCUGGGAAUGGCAUUGGAAACUGGCAGGCUCGAGUAUGGCAGAGGGGGGUGGAAUUCCGCGUAGCAGUGAAAUGCGUAGAGAUGCGGAGGAACACCGAUGGCGAAGGCAGCCCCCUGGGCCAAUACUGACGCUCAGGCACGAAAGCGUGGGGAGCAAACAGGAUUAGAUACCCCAGUAGUCC
RNAcentral lists this ribosomal RNA (791 nucleotides) under uncultured bacterium. Its description in RNAcentral is "bacterial SSU rRNA". It matches the Rfam family "Bacterial small subunit ribosomal RNA", at positions 8 to 796 of the family's 1533-position model. The record is from RNAcentral.